UGGGGAAUAUUGGACAAUGGGCGAAAGCCUGAUCCAGCAAUGCCGCGUGAGUGAUGAAGGCCUUAGGGUUGUAAAGCUCUUUUACCCGGGAUGAUAAUGACAGUACCGGGAGAAUAAGCCUCGGCUAACUCCGUGCCAGCAGCCGCGGUAAUACGGAGGGGGCUAGCGUUGUUCGGAAUUACUGGGCGUAAAGCGCACGUAGGCGGCUUUGCAAGUCAGAGGUGAAAGCCCGGGGCUCAACCCCGGAAUAGCCUUUGAGACUGCAUCGCUUGAACAUCGGAGAGGUAAGUGGAAUUCCGAGUGUAGAGGUGAAAUUCGUAGAUAUUCGGAAGAACACCAGUGGCGAAGGCGACUUACUGGACGAUUGUUGACGCUGAGGUGCGAAAGCGUGGGGAGCAAACA
Molecule: ribosomal RNA, 402 nt
Filed under: uncultured Sphingomonas sp.
Lineage: Bacteria; Pseudomonadati; Pseudomonadota; Alphaproteobacteria; Sphingomonadales; Sphingomonadaceae
Description: bacterial SSU rRNA
Rfam family: Bacterial small subunit ribosomal RNA
Source: RNAcentral